RNAcentral lists this long non-coding RNA (3907 nucleotides) under Homo sapiens (human). Its description in RNAcentral is "HSALNT0194513". Lineage: Eukaryota; Metazoa; Chordata; Mammalia; Primates; Hominidae. The record is from RNAcentral.
GCUGACUGGUCCAUUUUACAGAGAGCUGAUCGGUCCAUUUUACAGAGUGCUGAGUGGUCCGUUUUGACAGAGUGCUGAUUGGUGCGUUUACAAACCUUUAGCUAGACACAAAAGUUCUCCAAGUCCCCUACCUGAUUAGCUAGACACAGAGCGCUGACUGGUGCGUUUACAAACCUUUAGCUAGACACAGUGCUGAUUGGUGCGUUUACAAUCUUUUAGCUAGACAGAAAAGUUCUCCAAGUCCCCAUCCGUCCCAGAAGCCCAGCCGGCUUCAUCUCUCACUGGCAUUGGCAGGGCAGCGGGACUUUGCGACACCUAGCCCGGGCACUCCAGCAGCCCAGAGGGAGCUCCUCCCAGACAAUCAAGAGGGAAAGAGGGGAAGCAGAAAGAGACGGAGACCUGCUAUCUUGGCCAACGAUCCCGUGAAGAGGGAACGGCGGUCUACGCAGGGAAUUCAGCUUCCUAUCAAGCCUAGCAGGUGCUGGGCUUCGUUGCUGUUUCUGGCAGAGUCCUGCUUCUCGCGCCCGCUGCACUGGGUUUGGCGUCUCUGCUGUUCGCUGAGAUCUGCACACUCCAGGAGCCAUAGGGAGGACGCCAGGACAGCCCCGAAGACGAGAAUGCCUCGCUCCUCCUAGGACGGGAGGAAAAUCCCACAAAUCCUGUCUACUCCAAGCAGCCGCGCCCCUCGGGAGACCACCCCAGUUGGAGGGGCCCACUCCAGCCACCGCUACACCGGGACGCGCUCCUCCUCCCCCUGUGCCCGCCCCUUCUCGUGAGGGACCACCAGGAGGCCCCUCGAUUCCCCAGCAAAACACAGGUUUUGGAGCCAGAGUUUCUGAGUUUGAAUGUUUGGUCUGCUACUGACCAACUCUAUGGGCUUGGGCCUGCAAAGAAAACAUCAAAGAAGAAGGUCAAAAACCAAUUACAUUCUAGGAGUGACCUUGAUGACUUAACUCUGUAAUCUGCAGCAACCUCAGAGGAUCAUGGGAUGCAUUAUGCACGUCAUGGAAUGGAUUGUAAUGUGUAACAUCUAUGAAAUCAAAGGAUGAAGAAGAUCGUGCCCAGAGCUCUCCUUGGGGGUGGAUGACAGAAUGAACAUUUACUCUGGGCUCACUGGAAAAGCUCCAACGUCUUGGAAAUUGAGUGGGUAUAAGGAAUGCACAAAUUAGUUUUCCUGUGACAGCAUGCAGAGCACUUUUCCAAGCCCCGUCACCUGUCCUUAGUUCCUCUGAACUAUACAGAGGAACAAAUCAAUAUAAAUGCAGAAGAGAAAAGAUGAGAUCAGCUGAUUUUGGUGUUGAUAUGGGUAAUAUCUGAUUUACAUUCAGUUUUCAUGUGGGAUCUCUGUGCCUGGCUUGGUUUAAUGAUUCAAAGUGACAAUACAGUCAACUUCUGAGAAAAUGAUCUAUGGAAAAUUGAAAGUUUAAAAUAUUUUCUUCCUCCUAACUUUGAAGAGGACUUGUUUCAUAUCAAAUCUGCCUGUUCAUCUGCCUGUCCGUCCACUCACUGUUUAUCCAUGGAUCUUGGUGUUAGCUUCUGAGGUGGUAAUGAAUUCAAAACCCUUCUGUUCCUACUCUCAUAUUAAAGGUUCAAAAAUCAACCUUGAUUGCAAUGAAGCACUAAGCCCACAACCACAACUCAGGUGAGGGCUGCCUUGAGGGUUGAAUGGGUUAAUUAAAUAAAAUGUGUAUUAUAUAUCUCGAAGAAAGUAGAGGUAUAUCAACUUGCUUGGUAUCUCACAGCUUAGCAAGUUCCAGAGGGGCACUCAAACCCAGGAGAUAAGCUUCCAAGUCAGGGCUAAUGCCAUGACACCCAUGAUUUAUGGGUGGAUUGGUGGCAGGACAAGAUAGAAAGGAACCAGCGGUGGCUCAGGGUUUUGACCUGAGCAACCAGGGAGAGGAGGUGUCGUGUAGACAGAUAGGAAAGACACAAUUCUUUGAACACAUUUGGGACUCAGAUAGUCAAGGCAGCAAGGAUGAAGAUGGUUUGUCUCAUCACCCGUCUUCCAGGUGACUCUGGUGGGCUCCCUCUUUGAAAGGGUGCCUUCUGGGGGCUGACUUUCAGGCUAGCGGUUGGCUUCUUUUGACUGGGGGUCAAGUGGGCCUCCAGACACCCUGAGCUGCAUGGAGAACAGCAAGGGCCUUUUGCUCAUCUGCAGUGUACAGCACUGCCUCUACUUCAUCUUGAUGCUGCUCCUGGUCAGUCUUCUCGGCACGCUGGGGACCUCCUUACUCACAGACCCAAUUCCUGUUAAACAAGUUAAGUGCUGCCAGGUAGGGUGCUCUGGGGUGGACCCUGCAGUUCUAGGGAGUCACUGAAGAAUAGGGAAAUUCCUGCAUUGUCUUUGGAAAGGGGAGGGUUUGGGGGAGCAUUGGGGUGGGCAGAAACAGGCAGGUACAUUUUAAAGGGCUCAGCAGAGUGAAACAAAGCUGAACUCAACCAGAUGUCCUGCAGCGAUUUGCCAGGUAUUCCUUUAGAUCGAGAAGUUUGGCUUUUAAAAUGCAAAUUUUCCUUGGAAGUUUUAAAUCCACCAACCUUAGUAUGAAUUAAUGCAAUCAGGGCACUCCCAGCUGUUACCCACCCAGGGGGAAUGAAGCCAAUGGACAUUCAGCCCCCACUGUAGUGCAGUAGGUGAGAGCAUGGCAGGCUCUGGAGCAGACUGCCAGGAUGCCGAUCCUAGCCUUGCCCUUACUAGUGUGUGUGAUCCCGGAUGAAUAUUUAACUUUUCUGUGGCUCAGUUAAAUGGAUGUAAUAAUAUCUACCUCAAAGAUCAGUUAUGAGGAUUAAAUGAGUUAAUCAAUGUAAAGCACUUAGAACAGUGUUUCGCAUAUGUACGCCUCAUCUUAGUAUUAGCUGCUGUUAUUGUUACUAUUAAUAAACAAUCCUUGAAGAGCAAGAACCGAAUUAUCUGUGCCCCACAAUACCCAGCAUCACUCCAUUACUAUGACAGACCUGCCACAUGUAUUUCUUGGAUGGGUUACUCAAUGGAUCUCUUUGCCACUUCUACAUUUUUCUUCUUCUACUUUGUUUUAUAGCAGAGGAGGGGCAGAAUUUAGGUGGAGUUCAUUGCUCAGCUGGACUGAAAAAGCUGAACUGGAAUAACUUUCAGUGAACAUGGGCAGUGGGUAAACAUUGGGAAUUUGCAGACUUUCAAAUGAGUCCUCUCUCGAGCACACAUCCUCUAAGUUAGUAGCAACACCAUUAACUCUUUGAAGACUAGGAAGGCACAGUCUUAUUGUCUCUGUAUCCUUAGUCCCCAGCACAGGGGUUCGUAGAAGAGGAAUGACUGAAUCUUCAGGUGUCUGUGGGCUGCCAGGAGGACACUUGGCCAAGAACUAUGUCUCAUCUUGCUUUCUGAGACCUCUUCCCCUCUUUUACACUUGUUCCUGUCUUUUGAAUACCAGGAAGCCCAGGUUGCCUUCUGACCUUCAGAGGCCCUCACACCACCUAUUCCGGGGGCUCCAGUACCAUCUUUCCCUGUAAAUGAGGCAGCACAGACUUUGAAUUUAGGCAAACCUGGGUUCAAGUUUCAGCUUCACUGGUAUCUUGCUACACUCAUAACCGUAGACAAUUUUACUUAUUUUUGUUAAGUCUCAGUAUCUUCAUCUGCAAAAUGUGGAUAAUAGUAACUAUCUCAUGGAAUUGUCAUGAGGGAGUUUCUUAAAUGUAGUUAUGUACAGAACUCUUUUAAAGGAACUCCUAAAAUCUCAAUGUUUAUCCAAAUGAGUUUUUCAAUAAUGCUACUUGGAUACAUGCAAAUAUAAUGUUCUAUAAUAUUUAGCUAUAAAUUCAAUGUUUUUAUACAACCUAAACAAAAUUACAAACUAAAUACAAAUAAAACUAUAACAUUAAUAAAAUACAAAUUAACAAUUUUAAUGUAACAGAUAAUGUUUUGCUGAAAUUAAAC